RNAcentral lists this ribosomal RNA (482 nucleotides) under uncultured bacterium. RNAcentral describes it as "partial 16S ribosomal RNA". It matches the Rfam family "Bacterial small subunit ribosomal RNA", at positions 30 to 507 of the family's 1533-position model. The record is from RNAcentral.
AUUGAACGCUGGCGGCAUGCUUUACACAUGCAAGUCGAACGGUAACAGGCCGCAAGGUGCUGACGAGUGGCGAACGGGGGAGUAAUGCAUCGGAACGUGCCCAGUCGUGGGGGAUAACUACUCGAAAGAGUAGCUAAUACCGCAUACGAUCUAUGGAUGAAAGCGGGGGACCGUAAGGCCUCGCGCGAUUGGAGCGGCCGUUGUUAGAUUAGGUAGUUGGUGGGGUAAAGGCUCACCAAGCCAACGAUCUGUAGCUGGUCUGAGAGGACGAGCGGCCACACUGGAACUGAGACACGGCCCAGACUCCUACGGGAGGCAGCAGUGGGGAAUUUUGGACAAUGGGCGAAAGCCUGAUCCAGCAAUGCCGCGUGCAGGAAGAAGGCCUUCGGGUUGUAAACUGCUUUUGUACGGAACGAAACGGCUCUGGUUAAUACCCGGGGAUAAUGACGGUACCGUAAGAAUAAGCACCGGCUAACUACGUG